Non-coding RNA from Phrynosoma platyrhinos (Desert horned lizard), 72 nucleotides. NCBI's taxonomy places the organism in Eukaryota, Metazoa, Chordata, Lepidosauria, Squamata, Phrynosomatidae. The record is from the annotation of a GenBank genome assembly.
GUCACUGUGGUGCAGUGGUUUAAGCAUUAGACUUUGACUCCAGAGAUCAGGGUUCAAAUUCCUGCUGGGCCA